AGUCGCACGAGAAAGGGAGCAAUCCUAAGUAAAGUGGCGUACGGGUGAGUAACACGUGGAUCAUCUACCUUUUAGUGGGGAAUACCUCCUGGAAACGGGAGACAAUACCGCAUAAGCUCGUGAGAGGAAAGCCGAAAGGCGCUGAAAGAGGAGUCCGCGGCUGAUUAGCUAGAUGGCGGGGUAACGGCCCACCAUGGCGAAGAUCGGUAGCCGGCCUGAGAGGGCACACGGCCACACUGGCACUGAAACACGGGCCAGACUCCUACGGGAGGCAGCAGUGGGGAAUCUUGCACAAUGGAGGAAACUCUGAUGCAGCGACGCCGCGUGAGCGAUGAAGCCCUUCGGGGUGUAAAGCUCUUUCGACGGGAACGAUAAUGACGGUACCCGAAGAAGAAGCUGCGGCUAACUACGUGCCAGCAGCCGCGGUAAUACGUAGACAGCAAGCGUUGUUCGGAAUUACUGGGCGUAAAGAGUGUGUAGGCGGUGUUCUAAGCCUGUUGUGAAAUCUCCCGGCUCAACUGGGAGGGUGCGGCGGAGACUGGAAUGCUAGAGUAUGGGAGAGGUAAGCGGAAUUCCUGGUGUAGCGGUGAAAUGCGUAGAUAUCAGGAGGAACACCUGUGGUGUAGACAGUUUACUGGACCAUGACUGACGCUGAGACACGAAAG
Molecule: ribosomal RNA, 665 nt
Filed under: uncultured Fibrobacteres/Acidobacteria group bacterium
Lineage: Bacteria; Pseudomonadati
Description: bacterial SSU rRNA
Rfam family: Bacterial small subunit ribosomal RNA
Source: RNAcentral